AGGAUGAGAUGGUUGAAUGGCAUCACUGACUCAAUGGAGAUGAGUUUGAGUAAACUCUAGGAGUUAGUGAUGGACAGGGAGGCCUGGCGUGCUGCAGUCCAUGGAGUCACGAAGAGUUGGACACGGCUGAGCAACUGAACUGAACUCAGCUUAGACUGAGGGGAUGUUUUAUGUUACUUCAUUUUCUGGCAAUCAUUGUUGGGCAUACCUUCUUAACAGUGAAUAACUUGUAUUUAUUAUUCCCCAUGAGAGGUCUACUCAACUAUUUGCUAAAAUCUCUUCUACCCUCAUCCAUUUAUUUUCUCUAGAUCUGUUCCUUCAACAGUAGCACAUUAAGAAAUGACCCUGGUCCUGGUGUGUAGUUUGAGAACUGUAAAAUAUCCCUGAUUGAUCUUCUCUACUAAGGAACCCCUCUGACCCAUAGUAGACCAGUAUUUCCAUACCAUUGUAAAACCAGACCUAAAGACAGUAUGUCCACUACAACAAUGCUUAGCCAACUUGAAUAUGCUUAUGAGUCACCUGGGAAUCUGGUUAGGAUAAGGACACUAAUCCAAGAGGUCUGGAAUGAGGCCCAAUAUUGUGCAUUUCUUACCCCUCCCCAGGUGUUGCUGAUGCUGCUGGUCCCUGGGCUUCAUCUUGAGGAAAGAUGCACUACACCACUAACUGUUCUUUAUACACAGCUUUAUGUGAAAAGAGAGAGACAGCUACACAAACCUACUGAGGCUGAAGCCAGUCAACCAAGCAUAGUCUGUGAUGUUCCAUUUGUACUAAAUGAGGUCAUCUCUGAACCCCAUAAGUCAUCGAGAAAAGACCAUGGCUGCUAG
RNAcentral lists this long non-coding RNA (824 nucleotides) under Capra hircus (goat). Its description in RNAcentral is "lncRNA (ENSCHIG00010022067.1)". The record is from RNAcentral. Lineage: Eukaryota; Metazoa; Chordata; Mammalia; Artiodactyla; Bovidae.